AAACGCACAUUAUAAGUGCUAUAAAUAGGGGUCCCAUAUUGGACGUGCACCUGUAGGCAGGUUCCUACAAAUAAAGUGUGCACCUUUGUUCCCUCUGACUUGGCCUCAUUUGAGAGAAACUCAAAUGAACAUCGGAAGUUGGGACUUGCCUGUUGUUUUGGUGACUUUGCUUAAUUAGGAGGGCAAUGUCUAAUGAUCACAUGCUGAAAGUUACCUUUGAUCUAAAACAUGCCUGAAACUUAAGUGAGCGCCUAGCAUGGGCAAAGUACAGUAUUU
Non-coding RNA from Pelobates cultripes (western spadefoot toad), 276 nucleotides. Lineage: Eukaryota; Metazoa; Chordata; Amphibia; Anura; Pelobatidae. The record is from the annotation of a GenBank genome assembly.